GGGCUGCUCUCGUUUGCGGAACUAUAGAACCACCGUCGUUUCAAAGACUUUGCCGACGACUGUCGGGGACUAGAACUGAGAGCGAUACACCGCCGGAACUGACGAGCAAAUUCGGUGCCGCUUUGCACGAUCCUUCAAAAUACGGCGUUUUCAAAGGAUGGCCAUCACCGGAACUCCUUCAGGGAAUUGAAAUCGACGUCGCACCUAAGAUUUCUAACUUUCUCAUGGAACCAAACAUCAAUGGCGGUGUGUUUUCCUGGAAAACGACUCGCUCUGAUGGAGCUCACCCCUACUUGGGAUUUUUCAUGUCUGCAACAAAAAAAUGGAAAAACCAUCCGCUGCAAAGGAGGAGAAAAAUAAGCUGCUUGGAACUUCCAAAGAAGAUUCUGAAGCCAGAGUUUUUAAGGCUGCAAAGGGAAGCUAAUCAAGCCAACCCAGGAACUUCUAAGGUCAAGUGGAUGAGAUUGGUCAAGUGGUCGGAGAUUGAAUUACAUGUGUUUAUGGACUGAACGAGAUUGAAUUACAUGUGUUUAUGGACUGAACAAGAUUCGAGCCGAGUAAAUGGUCAAAUUGCCAGGGGUGUGAAAUGAAUAGCCUUGGGUCUUGAGAAUGAAAGUGAAUUCAAUGUCAAGAAACUGAAGAAGAAAGCUGGGUUUUUAGCUAGGAGGAAACAUUUAUUCAUAGAAAAAGCAAGGAGCAAACAUUUGACCGGCCAAAGCUCAAGGUUGUUGGCUGUCAAAAGGAGUAAAGUUCUGUUAUGUAUGAGGAAAAGUUUAUUGGGUCAGAGCUCAAAGUUGUCAGCUGUUGAUCAGGGUGACGAAAUCAAUGACUUGGCGGAGAGCACUGGUCCUGAGGACAGCCCUGGUUUGGGAGAGAGGGCUAAAGCCGACUGCCCUCAUCGGGCUGGCCUAGACGCGGAGCAGGUACCCAAUCUUCAGAGCAGUGACCCAGCUAGUAACUAGUUACUGCUCUUUAAAUAAGCAGGUCCCCUGACUACAUUUAACAGUUUUAAGCUGUUCUAGUAAAACAAAACGGCAUCUUAUGCGUUUGUUAUAACUUUAGAUCUUUCAACUCUCUUUGCGUUUAAGUUGGAACUUUUUUUUUUUAAAUUCCAUCCUUUUGGGAUUCACCUUUGUUGGUAGAUGGUUGAACCAUAAUAUCCUUUGCUUUGGGUUUUUUUUAAUCAACUUAAUUAGCUUUUUUGUUUAUUUCUAGUUUGCACCUAAUCCCCAGGGGUUGGCACAAGU
This is an RNA transcript of Juglans regia (Persian walnut), 1247 nucleotides long. RefSeq lists it as uncharacterized. Lineage: Eukaryota; Viridiplantae; Streptophyta; Magnoliopsida; Fagales; Juglandaceae. The transcript is spliced from 4 exons. The record is from RefSeq and is a predicted model, not a curated record.